This is a long non-coding RNA of Mustela erminea (ermine), 101 nucleotides long. RefSeq lists it as uncharacterized. The record is from RefSeq and is a predicted model, not a curated record. The transcript is spliced from 3 exons. Lineage: Eukaryota; Metazoa; Chordata; Mammalia; Carnivora; Mustelidae.
GUCCUCCACUCUCCUCUCAAGUCCAGUGAGUAUCUUUAUGAUCAUUACUUUAAUUAUCUAUUAGGCAUAUUACUUGUCUCUUUUUUGUUUACUUCUUUUCC